RNAcentral lists this ribosomal RNA (2035 nucleotides) under Rhabdostyla commensalis. Its description in RNAcentral is "SSU rRNA". The stretch from base 1 to 1626 matches the Rfam family "Eukaryotic small subunit ribosomal RNA". Lineage: Eukaryota; Ciliophora; Oligohymenophorea; Sessilida; Epistylidae. The record is from RNAcentral.
AUUAAAUCAGUUAUUAUUUAUUUGAUAAUCGAAAGUUACAUGGAUAACCGUGACAAAUUACAGCUAAUACAUGCAUUCAGACCUGGUCCAAGGGUCGUAAUUAUUAGUAUUAAACCUCUUCCGCAAGGAGUGUGAUGAAUCAUAAUAAUCGAACGAAUCGCAGAAUUCUGCGAUAAAUCAUUCAAGUUUCUGCCCUAUCAGCUUUGGAUGGUAGUGUAUUGGACUACCAUGGCAGUCACGGGUAACGGAGAAUUAGGGUUCGAUUCCGGAGAGGGAGCCUGAGAAACGGCUACCACAUCUACGGAAGGCAGCAGGCGCGAAAAUUGCCCAAUCCCGACACGGGGAGGCAGUGACAAGAAAUAACAACUCUUGGAUUUCUAAGAAGUGUAAUGAGGAUAAUUUACAACCCUUACCGAAAGCAAUUGGAGGGCAAGUCUGGUGCCAGCAGCCGCGGUAAUUCCAGCUCCAAUAGCAUAUAUUAAAGUUGUUGCAGUUAAAAAGCUCGUAGUUGAAGUUCUGGCUGUUCGAUCCUCGAGCUCUGUAGCCGAGGCUUCGACAGUCAUCCGCUUGCAAAUAUAUGUUCGCCUUUAACCGGGCGGCUAUAUGAGUAAGCAUUUUACCUUGAGAAAAACAGAGUGUUCCAGGCAGGUAUGUCCGGAAUGCGUUAGCAUGGAAUAAUAGAAUAUGACUGAAGUCGAUUUAUUGGUUUGAGGCUUUAGUAAUGAUUAAUAGGAACAGUCGGGGGCAUUGGUACUUGACAGUCAGAGGUGAAAUUCUAGGAUUUGUCAAAGACUAACAAAUGCGAAAGCAUUUGCCAAGGAUGUUUUCAUUAAUCAAGAACGAAAGUUAGGGGAUCAAAGACGAUCAGAUACCGUCCUAGUCUUAACUAUAAACUAUACCGACUCGGAUUCGGAUGAAUCAAAAAGUUCAUUCGGGACCGUAGGAGAAAUCAAAGUUUUUGGGUUCUGGGGGAAGUAUGGUCGCAAGGCUGAAACUUAAAGGAAUUGACGGUUUUGCACCACCAUGGAGUGGAGUCUGCGGCUUAAUUUGACUCAACACUGGGAAACUCAUCAGGGCAAGAAGAUUUUAGGAUUGACAGAUUGAGAGUUCUUUCUUGAUUGGUCUAGUGGUGGUGCAUGGCCGUUCUUAGUUGGUGGAGUGAUUUGUCUGGUUAAUUCCGUUAACGAACGAGACCUUAACCUGCUAACUAGUAUCGGGAUCUCAAAUCCCGAUUACUUCUUAGAGGGACUAUGUGAUGUAAUCACAUGGAAGUUUGAGGCAAUAACAGGUCUGUGAUGCCCUUAGAUGUCCUGAGCUGCACGCGUACUACAAUGGUGCUUCCAACGAGCAUUUCCUGAUCCGAAAGGAAUUGGGUAAUCUUUUCAGUGAGCACCGUGCUUGGGAUUGAUCUUUGUAAUUAUGGAUCAUGAACUAGGAAUUCCUAGUAAGCGCUAGUCAUCAACUAGUGCUGAUUACGUCCCUGCAAAAUGUACACACCGCCCGUCGCUUUUACCGAUUGAGUGCUCAGGUGAACCUUCUUGAUAGAGCAAUCUAAAAAUUAAGUAAACCUUAGCACUUAGAGGAAAAACAAGUCGUAACAAGGUUUUGGUAGAACAAAGAUUUUUGUUAUUAAAGUCCUUCUACAGGUUUGCCGCCACGAAAGCCUUUGCAGCCAGAAAUGGUUUGUCUCAGCGACUAAAAAUAAUUAGAGUAAUUAAAUGCAAGUUGGGUUUUUUUAAAAUUAAGAAAAACCAGCAAUCUCUUCAAACUGCGGGAAAAUCCUUAGAGCUAUUGACUACCGCGGCAUGUUGGUGACAGCAUGUGCAGCAGUUCGGGUAACUCCCUUACGGAUGGUAAAAAGGUCAAUAGAUUGGACAAUCCGCCACCAAGCCUCUUAUUUUUAUUAAGAGGAAGGCUCACAGACUGUAAGGAGAGAGGUCUUUGUUGAUAAAAAGGCUUAAUAGACAGUCGGUCCCUGAGAGAAAUCUCAGUUCAAUGUGGAGGAAUCUACUGGGAGGAAAUGCCUGUAGAGGAG